Molecule: ribosomal RNA, 301 nt
Filed under: uncultured bacterium
Lineage: Bacteria
Description: partial 16S ribosomal RNA
Rfam family: Bacterial small subunit ribosomal RNA
Source: RNAcentral
CAGCCGCCACGGUAAUACGUAGGGUGCGAGCGUUAAUCGGAAUUACUGGGCGUAAAGCGUGCGCAGACGGUUGUGUAAGACAGGUGUGGAAUCCCCGGGCUUAACCUGGGAAUGGCGCUUGUGACUGCAAAGCUAGAGUGCGGCAGAGGGGGAUGGAAUUCCGCGUGUAGCAGUGAAAUGCGUAGAUAUGCGGAGGAACACCGAUGGCGAAGGCAAUUCCCUGGGCCUGCACUGACGCUCAUGCACGAAAGCGUGGGGAGCAAACAGGAUUAGAUACCCCUGUAGUCCCUGUCUCUUAUAC